UAGGGAAUCUUCGGCAAUGGACGGAAGUCUGACCGAGCAACGCCGCGUGAGUGAAGAAGGUUUUCGGAUCGUAAAGCUCUGUUGUAAGAGAAGAACGAGUGUGAGAGUGGAAAGUUCACACUGUGACGGUAUCUUACCAGAAAGGGACGGCUAAUUACGUGCCAGCAGCCGCGGUAAUACGUAGGUCCCGAGCGUUGUCCGGAUUUAUUGGGCGUAAAGCGAGCGCAGGCGGUUAGAUAAGUCUGAAGUUAAAGGCUGUGGCUUAACCAUAGUACGCUUUGGAAACUGUUUAACUUGAGUGCAAGAGGGGAGAGUGGAAUUCCAUGUGUAGCGGUGAAAUGCGUAGAUAUAUGGAGGAACACCGGUGGCGAAAGCGGCUCUCUGGCUUGUAACUGACGCUGAGGCUCGAAAGCGUGGGGAGCAAACAGGAUUAGAUACCCUGGUAGUCCACGCCGUAACGAUGAGUGCUAGGUGUUAGACCCUUUCCGGGGUUUAGUGCCGCAGCUAACGCAUUAAGCACUCCGCCUGGGGAGUACGACCGCAAGGUU
RNAcentral lists this ribosomal RNA (548 nucleotides) under uncultured bacterium. RNAcentral's name for it is "bacterial SSU rRNA". It matches the Rfam family "Bacterial small subunit ribosomal RNA", at positions 355 to 895 of the family's 1533-position model. The record is from RNAcentral.